This 437-nucleotide ribosomal RNA is filed under the name uncultured bacterium. Its description in RNAcentral is "bacterial SSU rRNA". It matches the Rfam family "Bacterial small subunit ribosomal RNA", at positions 338 to 791 of the family's 1533-position model. The record is from RNAcentral.
CCUACGGGAGGCAGCAGUGAGGGAUAUUGGGCAAUGGGGGAAACCCUGACCCAGCGACGCCGCGUGAGGGAAGACGGUCUUCGGAUUGUAAACCUCUGUCUUUGGGGACGAAAAAGGACGGUACCCAAGGAGGAAGCUCCGGCUAACUACGUGCCAGCAGCCGCGGUAAUACGUAGGGAGCGAGCGUUGUCCGGAAUUACUGGGUGUAAAGGGAGCGUAGGCGGGAUUGCAAGUUGGAUGUGAAAACUGCGGGCUCAACCCGGAGAGUGCAUUCAAAACUGCGAUUCUUGAGUGAAGUAGAGGCAAGCGGAAUUCCUAGUGUAGCGGUGAAAUGCGUAGAUAUUAGGAGGAACACCAGUGGCGAAGGCGGCUUGCUGGGCUUUUACUGACGCUGAGGCUCGAAAGUGUGGGGAGCAAACAGGAUUAGAUACCCGAGU